RNAcentral lists this ribosomal RNA (432 nucleotides) under uncultured bacterium. RNAcentral's name for it is "partial 16S ribosomal RNA". It matches the Rfam family "Bacterial small subunit ribosomal RNA", at positions 29 to 507 of the family's 1533-position model. The record is from RNAcentral.
AACGAACGCUGGCGGCAUGCCUAACACAUGCAAGUCGAACGAGACCUUCGGGUCUAGUGGCGCACGGGUGCGUAACGCGUGGGAACCUGCCCUUAGGUUCGGAAUAACUCCCCGAAAGGGGUGCUAAUACCGGAUAAUGUCUUCGGACCAAAGAUUUAUCGCCUUUGGAUGGGCCCGCGUUGGAUUAGCUAGUUGGUAGGGUAAAGCCUACCAAGGCGACGAUCCAUAGCUGGUCUGAGAGGAUGAUCAGCCACACUGGGACUGAGACACGGCCCAGACUCCUACGGGAGGCAGCAGUGGGGAAUAGUGGAAAAUGGGCGAAAGCCUGAUCCAGCAAUGCCGCGUGAGUGAUGAAGGCCUUAGGGUUGUAAAGCUCUUUUAACCGGGAUGAUAAUGACAGUACCGGGAGAAUAAGCUCCGGCUAACUCCGUG